This 1003-nucleotide ribosomal RNA is filed under the name human gut metagenome. Its description in RNAcentral is "bacterial LSU rRNA". It matches the Rfam family "Bacterial large subunit ribosomal RNA", at positions 1928 to 2925 of the family's 2925-position model. The record is from RNAcentral.
CGGCGGCCGUAACUAUAACGGUCCUAAGGUAGCGAAAUUCCUUGUCGGGUAAGUUCCGACCUGCACGAAUGGCGUAAUGAUGGCCAGGCUGUCUCCACCCGAGACUCAGUGAAAUUGAACUCGCUGUGAAGAUGCAGUGUACCCGCGGCAAGACGGAAAGACCCCGUGAACCUUUACUAUAGCUUGACACUGAACAUUGAGCCUUGAUGUGUAGGAUAGGUGGGAGGCUUAGAAGUGUGGACGCCAGUCUGCAUGGAGCCGACCUUGAAAUACCACCCUUUAAUGUUUGAUGUUCUAACGUUGACCCGUAAUCCGGGUUGCGGACAGUGUCUGGUGGGUAGUUUGACUGGGGCGGUCUCCUCCUAAAGAGUAACGGAGGAGCACGAAGGUUGGCUAAUCCUGGUCGGACAUCAGGAGGUUAGUGCAAUGGCAUAAGCCAGCUUGACUGCGAGCGUGACGGCGCGAGCAGGUGCGAAAGCAGGUCAUAGUGAUCCGGUGGUUCUGAAUGGAAGGGCCAUCGCUCAACGGAUAAAAGGUACUCCGGGGAUAACAGGCUGAUACCGCCCAAGAGUUCAUAUCGACGGCGGUGUUUGGCACCUCGAUGUCGGCUCAUCACAUCCUGGGGCUGAAGUAGGUCCCAAGGGUAUGGCUGUUCGCCAUUUAAAGUGGUACGCGAGCUGGGUUUAGAACGUCGUGAGACAGUUCGGUCCCUAUCUGCCGUGGGCGCUGGAGAACUGAGGGGGGCUGCUCCUAGUACGAGAGGACCGGAGUGGACGCAUCACUGGUGUUCGGGUUGUCAUGCCAAUGGCACUGCCCGGUAGCUAAAUGCGGAAGAGAUAAGUGCUGAAAGCAUCUAAGCACGAAACUUGCCCCGAGAUGAGUUCUCCCUGACUCCUUGAGAGUCCUGAAGGAACGUUGAAGACGACGACGUUGAUAGGCCGGGUGUGUAAGCGCAGCGAUGCGUUGAGCUAACCGGUACUAAUGAACCGUGAGGCUUAACCUU